RNAcentral lists this ribosomal RNA (151 nucleotides) under uncultured archaeon. RNAcentral describes it as "partial 16S ribosomal RNA". It matches the Rfam family "Archaeal small subunit ribosomal RNA", at positions 322 to 473 of the family's 1478-position model. The record is from RNAcentral.
CCUACGGGGUGCAGCGGGCGCGAAAACUUUACAAUGCCGGCAACGGCGAUAAGGGGACCUCGAGUGCCAGGUUACAAAUCUGGCUGUCGUGAUGCCUAAAAAGCAUUGCAUAGCAAGGGCCGGGCAAGACCGGUGCCAGCCGCCGCGGUAA